GGAGGUCAUAGGACAACUUUAUGGAGUCAGUUCUCUCCUUCCACUUUGUGAAUUCGGGGGAUUGAACUCAGAUUAUGUCAGGGUUGGCAGCAGACACCUUUGCCCACUAAGCCAUUCAACCACCUUUUUGUUUGUUUGUUUUUCAGACAGUAUUUCUCGCUGGUCUGGAACUCACCAAGUAGUCCAGCAAACACCAGAGUCACCCUCUCCACCUCCCCAGAGCUGGGACACAAGCCUGAGCUUUGAGCUUACAAGCUCCGACAUGAUCUGGCUGCAUUUUCAUCCUCUGAAUGGAAUCCUCCUGCAGUUUAGGGCUCUGCCUCAGAGCUGCUGGCAUCACUUACUGACCGACAUCUAGAUAAACAUCACCGCAGUGAACAUCUCAUCGUCAAGUCCACACACAUCCUUAAUUAUUU
Molecule: long non-coding RNA, 416 nt
Filed under: Cricetulus griseus (Chinese hamster)
Lineage: Eukaryota; Metazoa; Chordata; Mammalia; Rodentia; Cricetidae
Description: lncRNA (ENSCGRG00000025886.1)
Source: RNAcentral